UACCAGCUGGGAGAGGAGGUGAGAGAAAGCAGCCCUGUGGAAGAGGACUUGGGAGCUGUGCUGAAUGAGAAGCUGGACAUGAGCACUUACACCCCAAAAGGCAAAUUGCAUCCUGGGCUGCACCAAAAGAAGCGUGGCCAGCAGAUCCAGAGAGUGGGCUCUGCUACUUUGCACUGAAGCACUCCUAGAAGUACAAGAGACAUGAGAUAAAAGUGUUUUCAAACUUCUACGGAAAGAGGCAGAAACUUCCACAAGCAAGCUGUGGAGAUCUAGGCCAACCGUUGUACCUCUUCUAUGUAAUCUUCAUAUGCCAUUCAUCCAUGAUCUCAACCUUCAGUUCUACAUCUGCAGCCCAGUUGUCCAGCUUGCAGUGAAGAAAGAGCAAAUGUGCAGCCUUGUGAACCCUGUGAUGGAGCAAUAUAUAAGAUACAUCAGCACCACAUCAUCAAUGAAGGCUGCUGAGAAUGCACAGGGCUGGUACUACCUGGUUUGGACUAUACACACUACGAUAUUUAGUUACUGCUGUGUGGACUCCUGCAAUACUUCAUUUGAGACUUCUUUAGCACACUGUACCUCAAACUGCAUCAGGCAGUUACUUCAAAGUUUUCUUUUGUUCACUGAACUAGAUUUGUUUGCUUGUUUGUUCUGCAGCCAAAUGCAAAACCUUCUCCAGAUGAGGAGAGUUUAACUGAGGAUCAUUCUUCUCAACCUUCCUCUGAGACUCUGAAAUUGUGCACUCCUCCACGUGGGGGUUGUUAUAUACCAGCCUUGCUUGACCUCUGCCAAAAUUCAUUAUUGAGUUACUUAAUUGCUGCACGCUGUCAGUCUCAAAAGGCAAAGGAUUAUGCUGUGUAGUGCAUGAGUUUUCUUGGUUGCAGCAUCUACCUUGAUAUGCCCCAAAGCUUCCUUGCAGAAUACCUGUGGUAGCUACCUUUCUGGGUUACCUGCUACUGAGCUGGGCAGAUCACUGUUGUAUAGACCCUGGGGGAGAAUGCAGCAAAGCCAGUUUUACUUGUCUUCUGGAUGAAGCUGGUGGAAUAUAGCUGAAUUUUGCUCUGGUUUGGAAUGUCUCUGAAUUCUUACCUGUACAAGCACAGCAGGACUGACACUGUGUGUACUUGGGAACUGAAUCUGGAUUCAACAUUUUACACAUAACUCUAGAUCUUUUCCCUUGGUAUCAGUUUGUGGGACCACUGUUGCCAUCUUGUGCAGUUCUCCUUGCAUUGGAUCUUCGUGUGGCUGGUUGUUAGUGAGAUGAUGGUUUGUGGAGAUGUCCCUGGGCAGCCCAGAAUUUCUGAGUGGGUGGCUUCAGAAUAGCCAGAAGAAACCUGUGUGUCCUGCUGGCACAUUUCCAUUUAUGUGAACAUAACCAUUCAAGCACACAAGGACUUUUCAGCACAGUUUCCCUGAGUCAGGCAUAUUGCAGUGGAAUAAGCCUUGCUCUCACAUCAUCUUCUCUAGCCAAGAGCAAGCAUGGGAAUAGCGCAGUCACUGUUACUAUUUCCCUUUGGUCUCUCAAACCAUGCGACCAGAUACUUGGCUGCAGGUGGACUGACUGGAAAGUAUUGUUUGGCACAAGCCCAGGCUGAAAUGGCAGUUCUUGCUGUCCUGCAAAGCUUACUAGAAUGAAAAUUUAGAUGUAUGCAAAGCAUUGGAUGCUGUAGUCACAAUGAAAGAAAUCUGUGUGAGAAUGCAAGUAAAGGAAAGGCACUUAUCAAAAGAAGCUCAAUAUGAAAGGAACUGUAAUUUCAGUUGCCAUUGAUACUCAUUACUAAACUAGUGAUAAAUUCAUCUGUUCAGCAAAUAAAUGUCAAUGUACUUUUGUAAUUUAAA
Molecule: long non-coding RNA, 1833 nt
Organism: Pogoniulus pusillus (Red-fronted tinkerbird)
Lineage: Eukaryota; Metazoa; Chordata; Aves; Piciformes; Lybiidae
Exons: 5
Source: RefSeq, a predicted model, not a curated record